AUGAAUUAGAAAGAAAGAGAUCAGGUUAUUUAUGAUCGGAGAAAAGAAGGGGCGUGGUUGAUGUGUCACUGGGGAACCCGUAGGAAGGGGAGACGACCGGCCUCAUUCACAUCUGAAAUCGCCAACAUGAACACAAACGAAAUCGUCUUAAUUUCAUAUAGAAAGAAAAAAAAGGAAACAAGUAAAAAAGCGUGGUCCCCGGGGAUAGGUACUUCGUCCGGCGCGGUAUCAUUGCUGAGCGAUCGCUCACUAUCUGGAAAUGGAGUGUUAGUUUCAAAUAGAGAUUGUGUGGGUGUGAAGUGUACUGAAGAUCGAGGUUUUUCUUCUUACUAA
Molecule: ribosomal RNA, 333 nt
Filed under: Triticum aestivum (bread wheat)
Lineage: Eukaryota; Viridiplantae; Streptophyta; Magnoliopsida; Poales; Poaceae
Description: partial small subunit ribosomal RNA
Source: RNAcentral